UACGUAGGGCGCAAGCGUUGUCCGGAUUUAUUGGGCGUAAAGAGCUCGUAGGCGGUUUGUCGCGUCUUCCGUGAAAACUGGGGGCUUAACUUCCAGCUUGCGGUGGAUACGGGCUGACUGGAGUGCGGCAGGGGAGACUGGAAUUCCUGGUGUAGCGGUGAAAUGCGCAGAUAUCAGGAGGAACACCGGUGGCGAAGGCGGGUCUCUGGGACGGUACUGACGCUGAGACGCGAAAGCGUGGGGAGCGAACAGG
This 253-nucleotide ribosomal RNA is filed under the name uncultured bacterium. RNAcentral describes it as "partial 16S ribosomal RNA". It matches the Rfam family "Bacterial small subunit ribosomal RNA", at positions 524 to 776 of the family's 1533-position model. The record is from RNAcentral.